GUUUUUAAAACCUCUCUUUUCUAUAAUAGAGAUCCCACAGAAUUUAAACUCUAGGAAGAUGAUGGCAGCAGUGUAGUUUCUGAGUCUUCCCAUUCGACCCUAGAGUAACUAGGAUCACCACAGACCCCAUUCUACAAAACCAGGUGACAGGGUGUCCCUGUGAACUUCAAAAUACAGUGUUGGACAACCCACUGACCAGCGUAGUUUCAGCAUCUGUGUGGGAGGAAGUGAAAGGCAGGCAGCUGGUUUCUGUUGGCCUUGAGAACAGAGCUAUCACACUGCCCACAGUUUUCUCACUAGAAAGUGCAGCGGGCCAGUCCGAGAGCAAAAGCUGGAACUGGAAGGGGUCGCACAGGUCCCCACGUGCACCUAAGUGUUAGAUCAGUAUAGUGUGGUCUGAUCGUUGUGCGGGAGCAGCCUGGGCCCUGGCCUGUUUGCAUCUUAAACCUAAUGAGACAAAGCCCUGCUCAAGUUAGAAUCCAAAGUGGCCCAGAUAGGUACCACAGGACCAAGGGAAGAGAGAGGCCAGAUACAUAGAAAGAAAGGGCAGC
This 551-nucleotide long non-coding RNA is filed under the name Bos taurus (domestic cattle). RNAcentral's name for it is "long non-coding RNA NONBTAT001704". Lineage: Eukaryota; Metazoa; Chordata; Mammalia; Artiodactyla; Bovidae. The record is from RNAcentral.